Belonocnema kinseyi is the source of this 1456-nucleotide RNA transcript. It is a transcript of the gene named nascent polypeptide-associated complex subunit alpha-like, with no coding region annotated. The record is from RefSeq and is a predicted model, not a curated record. The transcript is spliced from 8 exons. Lineage: Eukaryota; Metazoa; Arthropoda; Insecta; Hymenoptera; Cynipidae.
UCCAGGCUCCCGCUCGAAUCGAUUCAAAAUGUUUCCUCGUGUUCCCAAAGUCGCAUAAAAUUUCUCGUCAACCAUGAAGACGAUGAAUCACGUCAUGUGAACUGAGAAUUAGUUUCGCCCUGUUUCGCCGUGUAAAGUGAUAACUAAAAAAGUGUUCGCUCGUCGACGAAACACCGAACGAGAUAAAACAAAAUGCCGGAACUAACAGAAUUGGACAAAGCGGCGUCGUCCGAACCUACCAAGGUCGAAGCAGCAGCAGCUGGAUCAGGAAGUGAUUCGGAUUCUGAUGACACCAUCCCGGAACUCGAAGAUGCUGGAGCAGGAGCACCAGUGUCCUUCCCAGGAUCCACAGUUGCUGGCCUUCCCAUUGACAUGGUUUCUAAAGCCAAACAGAGCCGUGGCGAGAAGAAAGCUAGGAAACUCAUGAGCAAAUUGGGAUUGAAACCAGUUCAAGGAGUCAACAGAGUAACAAUUCGCAAGUCCAAAAAUAUCCUCUUUGUGAUCAACAAACCAGACGUCCUCAAGAAUCCAGCUUCAGACACUUACAUUGUCUUCGGUGAAGCCAAAAUUGAGGAUCUCAGUCAGCAAGCGCAGGUGGCAGCAGCCGAAAAAUUCAAGGAGCCACCAGUAAUUGCAGCAACCGAAGCAGGUGGCAGCACGACGGUGGUGGCACCUAUUCAAGAGGAGUCUGAGGAGGAAGUAGACGAAACGGGCGUCGAAGAAAAGGAUGUUGACCUCGUUAUGUGCCAAGCCAACGUUUCUCGAGGGAAGGCAAUCAAAGCUCUUAAGAAUAACCAAAAUGAUAUCGUCAACGCCAUAAUGGAGCUGACGAUGUGAUGAAACUACGUUGCAGCAUAAUAGGCUACGGAGCUGACGAUGUGAUGAAACUACGUUGCAGCAUAAUAGGCUACGGUACAUUAUAACUCACAUAGAGCUGACGAUGUGAUGAAAUAACUUUGGAGUGUAAUAGGCUACGGUACAUUAUAACUUAUGCAGUGAUACCAUUAUUUUAUUAUCAGUGAAUCGAGCGAUCAUCAUUUCUUUCUCCAUCCCAUUGGUCACCAUAAAAAAUACUUCAUGUAUAUACAAAAGUCUUGUGAAAAAAUAAAUACUUUAAUUCAUGCAGAAUUUUUCUGAAAUGCAUGCUCUGUAGAUGUAAGAUAACUUAAAGAACUUAAUGAUCGCAAAAUAGUUUCGAAAAAUGAUGUUUCGUACGUAAUUAAAGAUUUAUGAACCUCUUUAAAAUAAAAUUAUUACAAUAAGUAGUUGAAUCCCUUUAUAAUGAGUAUAUCAUGCUUAUAUUUAGAUUAAAUGUCAUUUUUAAGGUGGGAUGGAGAAUUAGUUAAUAAUGUGAAAAGUUUUUAUUUUAUCUUAUCAACUAAACAUUAAGUGGUUCAAAAUGUAAAGAAUCUUUCUGUUUAUAAAAAACGAGACUAGAAAUAGAUGUAUUUUUAAC